This is a non-coding RNA of Arachis ipaensis, 731 nucleotides long. The record is from RefSeq and is a predicted model, not a curated record. Lineage: Eukaryota; Viridiplantae; Streptophyta; Magnoliopsida; Fabales; Fabaceae.
UGCUUUGAUAUGCAUUAAUGAAUUUUCUACACUUUGAACUUCAAGGCCUAUGGUGGAGGUGGUUCCCCAAGUUCAAGUUCCUUCAUAAUAAGGAUGGAUGAGUACAACCAAUGGAUUUGAGUGAAUUGAUCCUCAGCAUUCCGGUUGAGAUCAACAGUGACAGUUGAUGGCUGGUUUAAUUACUUGAUGUAAUUUUGAGAUCGUCUGGCACGAUUAAUGAGAUCCGUUCACAAGACAGACGAUGCUUUGACAGCGGACCUUUUGAAGAUGAUAGUAGUGCUAUUGUGACAGAUCCUUAGACUAUCUUGAUAAUGAUGCAAGGCACAUGAGACUUGGAGAAGAAGGUGGAGCAGAGCAAGAAGGAAUACUUGAUCUUGGGAGUGGACAAGUCCACUGAUCCGGUUGACUUGAAGGGCAGAGAUAUUAAAGAAGUUUAACAUUCAGAUUGCAAAGAGGUGAAAUCUUUGUUACUCUUCUAAAAUUCAUGGUGCAUAUAAAUGUGACUGGUCUAAGUUCCCAGAGGCGUUAACUGUGGAUACCGCGUUAUGAAUGGUUGAGGACUUCAACCUGUAACCUGCUGUGUCAGUCACAUGCGGGGCAUAUACUUUUGGAAGAUUGUCUUACUGCUUCCACUUUUUCAGUUUUGCAUGCGUAUCAGUUUUGUUUCCAUAACUUAUCGAUUUCAAUAUAUGAGGAUGACCAUGUAUAAGUCAAAACUUUGUUUCCCUUUA